GACGAACGCUGGCGGCGUGCCUAAUACAUGCAAGUUGAGCGAUGAAGCUUGGUGCUUGCACCAAUUUGAAGAGCAGCGAACGGGUGAGUAACGCGUGGGGAAUCUGCCUUUGAGCGGGGGACAACAUUUGGAAACGAAUGCUAAUACCGCAUAACAACUUUAAACAUAAGUUUUAAGUUUGAAAGAUGCAAUUGCAUCACUCAAAGAUGAUCCCGCGUUGUAUUAGCUAGUUGGUGAGGUAAAGGCUCACCAAGGCGAUGAUACAUAGCCGACCUGAGAGGGGGAUCGGCCACAUUGGGACUGAGAAACGGCCCAAACUCCUACGGGAGGCAGCAGUAGGGAAUCUUCGGCAAUGGACGAAAGUCUGACCGAGCAACGCCGCGUGAGUGAAGAAGGUUGUCGGAUCGUAAAACUCUGUUGGUAGAGAAGAACGUUGGUGAGAGUGGAAAGCUCAUCAAGUGACGGUAACUACCCAGAAAGGGACGGCUAACUACGUG
RNAcentral lists this ribosomal RNA (497 nucleotides) under uncultured bacterium. Its description in RNAcentral is "partial 16S ribosomal RNA". It matches the Rfam family "Bacterial small subunit ribosomal RNA", at positions 28 to 507 of the family's 1533-position model. The record is from RNAcentral.